Molecule: ribosomal RNA, 497 nt
Filed under: uncultured bacterium
Lineage: Bacteria
Description: partial 16S ribosomal RNA
Rfam family: Bacterial small subunit ribosomal RNA
Source: RNAcentral
GAUGAACGCUGGCGGCGUGCCUAAUACAUGCAAGUCGAGCGAACAGAUGAGGCGCUUGCUCCUCUGACGUUAGCGGCGGACGGGUGAGUAACACGUGGAUAACCUACCUAUAAGACUGGGAUAACUUCGGGAAACCGGAGCUAAUACCGGAUAAUAUAUUGAACCGCAUGGUUCAAUAGUGAAAGACGGUUUUGCUGUCACUUAUAGAUGGAUCCGCGCCGCAUUAGCUAGUUGGUAAGGUAACGGCUUACCAAGGCAACGAUGCGUAGCCGACCUGAUAGGGGGAUCGGCCACAUGGGAACUGAGACACGGUCCAGACGCCUACGGGAGGCAGCAGUAGGGAAUCUGACGCAAUGGGCGAAAGCCUGACGGAGCAACGCCGCGUGAGUGAUGAAGGUCUUCGGAUCGUAAAACUCUGUUAUUAGGGAAGAACAAAUGUGUAAGUAACUAUGCACGUCUUGACGGUACCUAAUCAGAAAGCCACGGCUAACUACGUG